CAGAGGUACACUUCCGGUCUUGGGGGAUUUUCGCUGUAUAAGUAAGUUCAAUUUUACUGUUCGCAGUCUACGCAGCAAUGAAGUUCCUGGUUCUAAUUCUACUAGUGUGCAUCGCGUCGACCAUGGGCUACUUUAACAACGGACUUGGCAGGAGAGGGGGCUGUGCAACUUAUGGACAAAGGUGCAACGGAGGAUUUGGAAGGAACUGCUGCAGAGGUCGUAAUUUGGGUUGCUUCGAUGGAUACUGUUCUCGAGUUGACAGUGGUUGAACUAUUCUGUGUCAAGUUUCCUAGGAAUUUCAGCUAUUCGAACUAAUAAAUGUACUGUAAUUACAGCAAUGCAUCUAGUAAUAAAAUUUCCAAAA
RNAcentral lists this long non-coding RNA (364 nucleotides) under Gigantopelta aegis. RNAcentral's name for it is "uncharacterized LOC121389404, transcript variant X2". Lineage: Eukaryota; Metazoa; Mollusca; Gastropoda; Neomphalida; Peltospiridae. The record is from RNAcentral.